RNAcentral lists this ribosomal RNA (454 nucleotides) under uncultured Rikenellaceae bacterium. Its description in RNAcentral is "partial 16S ribosomal RNA". It matches the Rfam family "Bacterial small subunit ribosomal RNA", at positions 341 to 792 of the family's 1533-position model. Lineage: Bacteria; Pseudomonadati; Bacteroidota; Bacteroidia; Bacteroidales; Rikenellaceae. The record is from RNAcentral.
ACGGAAGGCAGCAGUGAGGAAUAUUGGUCAAUGGACGCAAGUCUGAACCAGCCAUGCCGCGUGCAGGAAUAAGGCCCUAUGGGUCGUAAACUGCUUUUGUGGUGGAGCAAUAAGUCGUACGUGUACGGCGAUGAGAGUACAUCACGAAUAAGCAUCGGCUAACUCCGUGCCAGCAGCCGCGGUAAUACGGAGGAUGCAAGCGUUAUCCGGAUUUAUUGGGUUUAAAGGGUGCGUAGGCUGUGGUCCAAGUCAGGGGUGAAAGCCCGGAGCUCAACUCCGGAACUGCCUUUGAUACUGGAUUGCUGGAAUACGGAUGCCGUGGGAGGAAUGAGUAGUGUAGCGGUGAAAUGCAUAGAUAUUACUCAGAACACCGAUUGCGAAGGCAUCUCACGAAUCCGUCAUUGACGCUGAGGCACGAAAGCGUGGGGAUCAAACAGAAUUAGAUACCCUGGUA